GCGCCAGACUCCUACGGGAGGCAGCAGUGGGGGAUAUUGCACAAUGGGGGAAACCCUGAUGCAGCGACGCCGCGUGAGUGAAGAAGUAUUUCGGUAUGUAAAGCUCUAUCAGCAGGGAAGAAGAUGACAGUACCUGAGUAAGAAGCCCCGGCUAACUACGUGCCAGCAGCCGCGGUAAUACGUAGGGGCAAGCGUUAUCCGGAUUCAUUGGGUUUAAAGGGUGCGCAGGCGGGCCUUUAAGCCGGCGGUGAAACCCGGGGGCCCCACCCCCGCCGAGCCGUCGGAACUGGGGGCCUUGAGUGCGGCGGAGGCAUGCGGAAUGCGCGGUGUAGCGGUGAAAUGCAUAGAUAUCGCGCAGAACCCCGAUUGCGAAGGCAGCGUGCCGUGCCGCCACUGACGCUGAGGCACGAAAGCGCGGGGAUCGAACAGGAUUAGAUACCCCGGUA
This 446-nucleotide ribosomal RNA is filed under the name uncultured bacterium. Its description in RNAcentral is "bacterial SSU rRNA". It matches the Rfam family "Bacterial small subunit ribosomal RNA", at positions 328 to 792 of the family's 1533-position model. The record is from RNAcentral.